UGGCCGAACUGUUCCGAGUUGUUACGUAUAAUAAAAAUCAAUGCUAAUUUAGUAUUUCCACGAAUGAAAUAGAAAAACGAAACUAAAUUUCAUUUUAAUUUUAGUCUGAGAACAUCUGAAAGAAAAUGGUCGUUCUGUACAGACUUUUAAGACCGGGUGAAGAUCCAAGUGUAGGCCUCUAUCCGAAAGACCCUCUUUCUCACGUCACUGUAGAAGACCACGUGACCUAUGGAUCUGGAGGAUCUGAAUCACGAUUUAUUUCAUGCUGCAAGUCAGAAUCAGCAAUUCAAAGAUUUGUUGCUAAAACGUGGGCAUCGUCGAUAAGGAUUGUACAAAUUGAUAUCGAUGAAGGAGACCCAGAGAUUAUUGAAAUCAUCGAUUUGACAGAUCCAGAAACCGUGGACGCAUAUUUUCAGAAAGACAACGAGAAAGGAAGAAAUUUUGCGUCAUGGGCUGAGGAAGUUUUAGUUGUCGGCAAAAUUCGACCAGAAUGCAUAACAGAACUAUAAGAGUGAAGAAAUAUGUAGAACAUAUUGUAGAGGAACUCAGUUUACAUGAGCUACGACUUCUUUGUUUUUGAAUUACAUUGAUUUGAUAAAGAUAAUUUUUAGUAAAAAAAAAACUAUAUAAAAAAAUGUAGGUUUUCUAAGUAUUUUUUAUUGUUGGGG
This is an RNA transcript of Saccostrea cuccullata (small rock oyster), 668 nucleotides long. RefSeq lists it as uncharacterized. Lineage: Eukaryota; Metazoa; Mollusca; Bivalvia; Ostreida; Ostreidae. The transcript has 2 exons. The record is from RefSeq and is a predicted model, not a curated record.